UCCCCAGUGUCUCAGAGGUAAAGAAUCUGCCUGCCAAUGCAGGAGAUGCAGGUUCGAUUCCUGGGUCGGGAA
This 72-nucleotide transfer RNA is filed under the name Ovis aries (sheep). It matches the Rfam family "tRNA". Rfam says of the family: Transfer RNA (tRNA) molecules are approximately 80 nucleotides in length. Their secondary structure includes four short double-helical elements and three loops (D, anti-codon, and T loops). Further hydrogen bonds mediate the characteristic L-shaped molecular structure. tRNAs have two regions of fundamental functional importance: the anti-codon, which is responsible for specific mRNA codon recognition, and the 3' end, to which the tRNAs corresponding amino acid is attached (by aminoacyl-tRNA synthetases). tRNAs cope with the degeneracy of the genetic code in two manners: having more than one tRNA (with a specific anti-codon) for a particular amino acid; and 'wobble' base-pairing, i.e. permitting non-standard base-pairing at the 3rd anti-codon position. The record is from Rfam by way of RNAcentral. Lineage: Eukaryota; Metazoa; Chordata; Mammalia; Artiodactyla; Bovidae.